AUGCUCAGACUUGGGCCUGUGCAGGGCCUAGGUGGGGCUAAGGGGUCCGAUGCCGCCAUCUCUCGCAUGGCGGGUUGCCUUGGGAUUACACCGGCCAUCCAAGACCGUGCCAAGGAGGUGUUCAGGAAGAUGGAGAAGGAUAGGGCAUGGCCACCGGUUCUUGGCAAGACCAACCACCGAAAUAAUGAUCUGCUAUAUGCAGCGUGCCUCGCCAUUGCAUGCUGUAGCGAGGGCUCACCGCGGUCUAUCAAUGAGCUAGCUUCGGCAACGGCUGAAGGCUCGGCGGCAAGAAGGGAAAUCGCAAAGCUAACCGCGCGCAUCAGGAAGCACCUCGGGGAGGAGGGUGUCGGGCUGACGGGCGUUGGUGUGGUGCGUGCAUCAAGCUAUUUGUGCCACUUUGGUAAGCAACUUGAUAUGAGUGGUCGGGAAGUCACAUCGGCUAAGGAGGCAGCGAGACGGCUGUAG
This 465-nucleotide ribosomal RNA is filed under the name Triticum aestivum (bread wheat). RNAcentral's name for it is "partial small subunit ribosomal RNA". Lineage: Eukaryota; Viridiplantae; Streptophyta; Magnoliopsida; Poales; Poaceae. The record is from RNAcentral.